AACGAACGCUGGCGGCAGGCCUAACACAUGCAAGUCGAACGCUCCGCAAGGGGAGUGGCAGACGGGUGAGUAACACGUGGGAAUCUUCCUAUCGGUACGGAAUAGCUCAGGGAAACUUGGGGUAAUACCGCAUACGCCCGAAAGGGGAAAGAUUUAUCGCCGAUAGAUGAGCCCGCGUCUGAUUAGCUAGUUGGUGAGGUAAUGGCUCACCAAGGCGACGAUCAGUAGCUGGCUGAGAGGAUGACCAGCCACACUGGGACUGAGACACGGCCCAGACUCCUACGGGAGGCAGCAGUGGGGAAUAUUGGACAAUGGGCGCAAGCCUGAUCCAGCCAUGCCGCGUGAGUGACGAAGGUCUUCGGAUUGUAAAGCUCUUUUGCCAGGGACGAUAAUGACGGUACCUGGAGAAUAAGCCCCGCUAACUUCGUGCCAGCAGCCGCAGUAAG
Molecule: ribosomal RNA, 446 nt
Filed under: uncultured bacterium
Lineage: Bacteria
Description: bacterial SSU rRNA
Rfam family: Bacterial small subunit ribosomal RNA
Source: RNAcentral